This 252-nucleotide ribosomal RNA is filed under the name uncultured bacterium. RNAcentral describes it as "partial 16S ribosomal RNA". It matches the Rfam family "Bacterial small subunit ribosomal RNA", at positions 524 to 776 of the family's 1533-position model. The record is from RNAcentral.
UACGUAGGGUGCACGCGUGUCCGGAAUUAUUGGGCGUAAAGAGCUCGUAGGCGGUUCGUCGCGUCGGCUGUGAAAACCCGAGGCUCAACCUCGGGCCUGCAGUCGAUACGGGCGGACUGGAGUUCGGCAGGGGAGACUGGAAUUCCUGGUGUAGCGGUGAAAUGCGCAGAUAUCAGGAGGAACACCGAUGGCGAAGGCAGGUCUCUGGGCCACUACUGACGCUGAGAAGCGAAAGCAUGGGGAGCGAACAGG